AGUGGCCUUCCGUCAGUCAGGGCCCAUGCAGGUCAGGCUGGACACCCUGGGGAGGGUACCGAUGUACCUGAGUCUCCUGCCAUGGGACAGAAGGGAUAUUCUGUGAUCACUGAGACCAUAGGGCAGCCCAGCAGGGUCUGCACAGUCUACUUGAAGGUUAAUGGCCAAUGACUCCCUGGUACCAUCUGCAGUGAACUGUGAAAGAGCAAACUCAGCCUUGACCACCUGACAGCCUCACUGUCACUCAGAGCGACCAUGGGGGCCCCAGGCACACUCUCGCUGUUAAGAAGCCCUGUCCAAGAACCUUGCCACAUACAUCCCCUGUCAAGAAGUGGAGUCUGGGGCUUCCCUGGUGGUGCAGUGGUUAAGAAUCCA
This is a long non-coding RNA of Mesoplodon densirostris (Blainville's beaked whale), 375 nucleotides long. RefSeq lists it as uncharacterized. The transcript is spliced from 3 exons. The record is from RefSeq and is a predicted model, not a curated record. NCBI's taxonomy places the organism in Eukaryota, Metazoa, Chordata, Mammalia, Artiodactyla, Ziphiidae.